This 168-nucleotide ribosomal RNA is filed under the name uncultured bacterium. Its description in RNAcentral is "partial 16S ribosomal RNA". It matches the Rfam family "Bacterial small subunit ribosomal RNA", at positions 1334 to 1500 of the family's 1533-position model. The record is from RNAcentral.
GCUAGUAAUGGCAGGUCAGCAUACUGCCGUGAAUACGUUCCCGGGCCCUUGUACACACCGCCCGUCACACCAUGAGAGUUGGAAAUACCCGAAGCCUGUGAGCUAACUUAAGGGAGGCAGCAGUCGAAGGUAGAGCCAAUGAUUGGGGUGAAGUCGUAACAAGGUAGC